GGCUUGACUUUCUCUACCUUUCUUAUCUCUUUGUCUUCCUUUACUAUCUUCCUAAGUCCUUGUCCUAAUUCAAACUUGUCCUUACUAUAUUUGGACUUGUCCUAACAAGGGAAGGAAGAAAGAAAUUGGACAAACUAGAGAUGAAUGUAAGAAAGAAGAGAUAGACUUCUGAAUACCAAAACACCGGAGACUCCAUGCUAUUUAUAAUUAGCUUGGAGAUGCCUAUCAACAGGUGUUAUCCAAUCCACAUGCCCC
RNAcentral lists this long non-coding RNA (255 nucleotides) under Elaeis guineensis (African oil palm). RNAcentral describes it as "long non-coding RNA (EGUI_LNC075204)". The record is from RNAcentral. Lineage: Eukaryota; Viridiplantae; Streptophyta; Magnoliopsida; Arecales; Arecaceae.